RNAcentral lists this ribosomal RNA (41 nucleotides) under synthetic construct. The record is from RNAcentral.
AAGGCGGCCGAAAGGCUAGACGGUGGGAGAGGGUGGUGGAA